AGCUUGCUUUCUCGAGCGAGUGGCGAACGGGUGAGUAACGCGUGAGGAACCUACCUCACACAGGGGGAUAACAGUUGGAAACGGCUGCUAAUACCGCAUAAGCGCACAGUACCGCAUGGUACGGUGUGAAAAACUCCGGUGGUGUGAGAUGGACCCGCGUCUGAUUAGCUAGUUGGCAGGGCAGCGGCCUACCAAGGCGACGAUCAGUAGCCGACUUGAGAGAGUGAUCGGCCACAUUGGGACUGAGACACGGCCCAAACUCC
RNAcentral lists this ribosomal RNA (263 nucleotides) under uncultured Lachnospiraceae bacterium. RNAcentral's name for it is "partial 16S ribosomal RNA". It matches the Rfam family "Bacterial small subunit ribosomal RNA", at positions 77 to 339 of the family's 1533-position model. The record is from RNAcentral. Lineage: Bacteria; Bacillati; Bacillota; Clostridia; Lachnospirales; Lachnospiraceae.